UACGGAAGGCAGCAGUGGGGAAUAUUGCACAAUGGGCGCAAGCCUGAUGCAGCCAUGCCGCGUGUAUGAAGAAGGCCUUCGGGUUGUAAAGUACUUUCAGCGGGGAGGAAGGCGAUGUGGUUAAUAACCGCGUCGAUUGACGUUACCCGCAGAAGAAGCACCGGCUAACUCCGUGCCAGCAGCCGCGGUAAUACGGAGGGUGCAAGCGUUAAUCGGAAUUACUGGGCGUAAAGCGCACGCAGGCGGUCUGUUAAGUCAGAUGUGAAAUCCCCGGGCUUAACCUGGGAACUGCAUUUUGAACUGGCAGGCUUGAGUCUCGUAGAGGGGGUAGAAUUCCAGGUGUAGCGGUGAAAUGCGUAGAGAUCUGGAGGAAUACCGGUGGCGAAGGCGGCCCCUAGCGAAGACUGACGCUCAGGUGCGAAAGCGUGGGGAGCAAACGAGGAUUAGGAUACC
Molecule: ribosomal RNA, 453 nt
Filed under: uncultured bacterium
Lineage: Bacteria
Description: bacterial SSU rRNA
Rfam family: Bacterial small subunit ribosomal RNA
Source: RNAcentral